CAGUAGCCGCGGGAAUACGGAGGGCGCGAGCGUUACCCGGAUUUACUGGGCGUAAAGGGCGUGUAGGCGGCCUGGGGCGUCCCAUGUGAAAGGCCACGGCUCAACCGUGGAGGAGCGUGGGAUACGCUCAGGCUAGAGGGUGGGAGAGGGUGGUGGAAUUCCCGGAGUAGCGGUGAAAUGCGCAGAUACCGGGAGGAACGCCGAUGGCGAAGGCAGCCACCUGGUCCACUUCUGACGCUGAGGCGCGAAAGCGUGGGGAGCAAACCGGAUUAGAUACCCGAGUAGUCCCUGUCUCUUAUAC
RNAcentral lists this ribosomal RNA (301 nucleotides) under uncultured bacterium. RNAcentral's name for it is "partial 16S ribosomal RNA". It matches the Rfam family "Bacterial small subunit ribosomal RNA", at positions 509 to 807 of the family's 1533-position model. The record is from RNAcentral.